This 631-nucleotide ribosomal RNA is filed under the name bacterium W15S22. RNAcentral's name for it is "bacterial SSU rRNA". It matches the Rfam family "Bacterial small subunit ribosomal RNA", at positions 83 to 716 of the family's 1533-position model. The record is from RNAcentral.
CUUUGCUGACGAGCGGCGGACGGGUGAGUAAUGCUUGGGAACAUGCCUUGAGGUGGGGGACAACAGUUGGAAACGACUGCUAAUACCGCAUAAUGUCUACGGACCAAAGGGGGCUUCGGCUCUCGCCUUUAGAUUGGCCCAAGUGGGAUUAGCUAGUUGGUGAGGUAAUGGCUCACCAAGGCAACGAUCCCUAGCUGGUUUGAGAGGAUGAUCAGCCACACUGGGACUGAGACACGGCCCAGACUCCUACGGGAGGCAGCAGUGGGGAAUAUUGCACAAUGGGCGCAAGCCUGAUGCAGCCAUGCCGCGUGUGUGAAGAAGGCCUUCGGGUUGUAAAGCACUUUCAGUCAGGAGGAAAGGUUAGUAGUUAAUACCUGCUAGCUGUGACGUUACUGACAGAAGAAGCACCGGCUAACUCCGUGCCAGCAGCCGCGGUAAUACGGAGGGUGCGAGCGUUAAUCGGAAUUACUGGGCGUAAAGCGUACGCAGGCGGUUUGUUAAGCGAGAUGUGAAAGCCCCGGGCUCAACCUGGGAACUGCAUUUCGAACUGGCAAACUAGAGUGUGAUAGAGGGUGGUAGAAUUUCAGGUGUAGCGGUGAAAUGCGUAGAGAUCUGAAGGAAUACCGAUGGC